Molecule: ribosomal RNA, 425 nt
Filed under: uncultured bacterium
Lineage: Bacteria
Description: partial 16S ribosomal RNA
Rfam family: Bacterial small subunit ribosomal RNA
Source: RNAcentral
GUGGGGAAUCUUGCGCAAUGGGCGAAAGCCUGACGCAGCCAUGCUGCGUGAAUGAUGAAGGUCUUAGGAUUGUAAAAUUCUUUCACCGGGGACGAUAAUGACGGUACCCGGAGAAGAAGCCCCGGCUAACUUCGUGCCAGCAGCCGCGGUAAUACGAAGGGGGCUAGCGUUGCUCGGAAUUACUGGGCGUAAAGGGCGCGUAGGCGGACAGUUUAGUCAGAGGUGAAAGCCCAGGGCUCAACCUUGGAAUUGCCUUUGAUACUGGCUGUCUUGAGUACGGGAGAGGUGAGUGGAACUCCGAGUGUAGAGGUGAAAUUCGUAGAUAUUCGGAAGAACACCAGUGGCGAAGGCGACACACUGGCUCAUUACUGACGCUGAGACGCGAAAGCGUGGGGAGCAAACAGGAUUAGAUACCCCUGUAGUCC